RNAcentral lists this ribosomal RNA (1341 nucleotides) under uncultured bacterium. RNAcentral's name for it is "partial 16S ribosomal RNA". It matches the Rfam family "Bacterial small subunit ribosomal RNA", at positions 28 to 1381 of the family's 1533-position model. The record is from RNAcentral.
GACGAACGCUGGCGGCGUGCUUAACACAUGCAAGUCGAACGGUAAGGCUCCAGCUUGCUGGGGUACACGAGUGGCGAACGGGUGAGUAACAUGUGGGUGACCUGCCCUGCACUUCGGGAUAAGCCUGGGAAACUGGGUCUAAUACCGGAUAGGACCGCACCGUGAGGGUGUGGUGGAAAGUUUUUUCGGUGUGGGAUGGGCCCGCGGCCUAUCAGCUUGUUGGUGGGGUAAUGGCCUACCAAGGCGGCGACGGGUAGCCGGCCUGAGAGGGUGGACGGCCACAUUGGGACUGAGACACGGCCCAGACUCCUACGGGAGGCAGCAGUGGGGAAUAUUGCACAAUGGGCGGAAGCCUGAUGCAGCGACGCCGCGUGGGGGAUGACGGCCUUCGGGUUGUAAACUCCUUUCACCAUCGACGAAGGGUUUCUGACGGUAGAUGGAGAAGAAGCACCGGCUAACUACGUGCCAGCAGCCGCGGUAAUACGUAGGGUGCGAGCGUUGUCCGGAAUUACUGGGCGUAAAGAGCUCGUAGGUGGUUUGUCGCGUCGUCUGUGAAAUUCCGGGGCUUAAUUCCGGGCGUGCAGGCGAUACGGGCAUAACUUGAGUACUGUAGGGGAGACUGGAAUUCCUGGUGUAGCGGUGAAAUGCGCAGAUAUCAGGAGGAACACCGGUGGCGAAGGCGGGUCUCUGGGCAGUAACUGACGCUGAGGAGCGAAAGCAUGGGGAGCGAACAGGAUUAGAUACCCUGGUAGUCCAUGCCGUAAACGGUGGGCGCUAGGUGUGGGUUUCCUUCCACGGGAUCCGUGCCGUAGCUAACGCAUUAAGCGCCCCGCCUGGGGAGUACGGCCGCAAGGCUAAAACUCAAAGGAAUUGACGGGGGCCCGCACAAGCGGCGGAGCAUGUGGAUUAAUUCGAUGCAACGCGAAGAACCUUACCUGGGCUUGACAUAUACAGGAUCGCGCCAGAGAUGGUGUUUCCCUUGUGGCUUGUAUACAGGUGGUGCAUGGUUGUCGUCAGCUCGUGUCGUGAGAUGUUGGGUUAAGUCCCGCAACGAGCGCAACCCUUGUCUUAUGUUGCCAGCACGUUGUGGUGGGGACUCGUAAGAAACUGCCGGGGUUAACUCGGAGGAAGGUGGGGAUGACGUCAAAUCAUCAUGCCCCUUAUGUCCAGGGCUUCACACAUGCUACAAUGGUCGGUACAGUGGGUUGCCAGUCCGUGAGGGCGAGCUAAUCCCGCAAAGCCGGUCUCAGUUCGGAUCGGGGUCUGCAACUCGACCCCGUGAAGUCGGAGUCGCUAGUAAUCGCAGAUCAGCAACGCUGCGGUGAAUACGUUCCCGGGCCU